Pipistrellus kuhlii (Kuhl's pipistrelle) is the source of this 2101-nucleotide RNA transcript. It is a transcript of the gene named G protein subunit alpha i2, with no coding region annotated. NCBI's taxonomy places the organism in Eukaryota, Metazoa, Chordata, Mammalia, Chiroptera, Vespertilionidae. The transcript is spliced from 9 exons. The record is from RefSeq and is a predicted model, not a curated record.
CAGACGCUCGGAACUCCGACCCGAGAGCAGCCGGAGCGCCGGCGGCGGAGCGGAGCGGGCGCGCGGGCCGGACCGGGCCGGGGCCGAGCGGGGGCCGGGCGGCGGCCGGGCCGGCGGGCGGGCGGCGGGAUGGGCUGCACGGUGAGCGCCGAGGACAAGGCGGCGGCCGAGCGCUCCAAGAUGAUCGACAAGAACCUGCGGGAAGACGGCGAGAAGGCGGCGCGGGAGGUGAAGUUGCUGCUGUUGGGUGCCGGGGAGUCGGGGAAGAGCACCAUCGUCAAGCAGAUGAAGAUCAUCCACGAGGACGGCUACUCGGAGGAGGAGUGCCGGCAGUACCGGGCCGUCGUCUACAGCAAUACCAUCCAGUCCAUCAUGGCCAUCGUCAAGGCCAUGGGCAACCUGCAGAUCGACUUCGCCGACCCCUCCCGGGCGGACGACGCCCGGCAGCUGUUCGCGCUGUCCUGCUCGGCUGAGGAGCAGGGCGUGCUCCCCGAGGACCUGUCUGGCGUCAUCCGGCGGCUCUGGGCCGACCACGGAGUGCAGGCCUGCUUCAGCCGAGCCCGGGAGUACCAGCUCAACGACUCGGCCGCCUACUACCUGAACGACCUGGAGCGCAUCGCCCAGAGCGACUACAUCCCCACCCAGCAGGACGUGCUGCGCACCCGCGUGAAGACCACCGGCAUCGUGGAGACCCACUUCACCUUCAAGGACCUGCACUUCAAGAUGUUCGACGUGGGCGGCCAGCGGUCGGAGCGGAAGAAGUGGAUCCACUGCUUCGAAGGCGUGACAGCCAUCAUCUUCUGCGUGGCCCUGAGCGCCUACGACCUCGUGCUGGCGGAGGAUGAGGAGAUGAACCGCAUGCACGAGAGCAUGAAGCUGUUCGACAGCAUCUGCAACAACAAGUGGUUCACGGAUACGUCCAUCAUCCUCUUCCUCAACAAGAAGGACCUGUUCGAGGAGAAGAUCACGCACAGCCCCCUGACCAUCUGCUUCCCCGAGUACACAGGGGCCAACAAGUACGAGGAGGCAGCCGGCUACAUCCAGAGCAAGUUUGAGGACCUGAACAAGCGCAAGGACACCAAGGAGAUCUACACACACUUCACCUGCGCCACCGACACCAAGAACGUGCAGUUUGUCUUCGACGCCGUCACCGACGUCAUCAUCAAGAACAACCUGAAGGACUGCGGCCUCUUCUGAGGGCGGCCCCUGGCCGGACGGUGAGCCGCGGGCCGGCAGGGAGCCGGGGGCCGGCAGGGAGCCGGGGGGCCGGACGGUGAGCCGCGGGCCGGACGGCCACCGGGAAUCUGCUCCCCCAGUUCCUGAGGAAGAUGGGGGCACGAGGACCACGCCCCCCACCGCCCUCCCCACGCUUCCCCCUCUCUGUUCUUGGCUCCUCUGUCGCCUCCCUCAGCUCCCGGGACCUGGGGAAGGGGUGCCACAGGCUUCCCGUUGGGAGCCUGCCCUUGUCCCAGUGCUGGGAACAGCGGGUGCCCCUCCUGGGCAUCGCGCUGGGGGUAGCCCUGGUCUCGUCCUGUGGUGAGGGAGGGGGCACCGCCAGCCUGGGACCCGGUCACCCAGCCCAGCCCCUGGCCCGCCCAAGGCCAGAUGUUUACAGGAGCCUCCUGCCCCCACCCCGCCCCAGCGAGGAGGCCCCACAGGAAAAGCACAAGCAGCGUGAGACGCCACCAUUCCGAGACACAGGCCACCCGCUCAUCCUCGUCGCUUUUUAAAAAAUCGAAAGGAAAAAAACCCGCAAACUUAGAAAACUUUUUAGAGGAAAAACUAUUUAAAACUGUCCGGUCCUGACCGGCUCCCCAGCCCCAUUCGAGCAACUCCGUGCCUUGAGUGUGUCUGUGUGUUUACACCCGUCCUCUGCUGGCUGCCCCUGGCGGCCCGCCACACCGGCCCGCGGCUGCCGGCCUCCCAGGCCUGCCCAGGCCGGGGCCCCACUAACCUCCCUGACGCCCUCGGCUAACCUAGGAAGCGCGGCCUCUGCCCUCCCCCAGGUCGGCCUUCAGCCUUGAACACUUCCUUGCUUUUUUCACGUUUUAUGGAAUUGUCCACCGGGUUUGAAAUAAUAAAAUGUAGAAAGAAAAACACC